CCCUCCGGUCCUUUUUAUAAGGAACACUUUGAAAAAAUCACACAGACCAAUGAAACACAUUUAAUAUAGUUAUUUUCAUUUAAUACUCUUAUAAAUUUAAAUUUAUUCCAUGUAUACCCUUAUUUAAUUACUCUUUAUUCAACUAACUUACUUAUUUUUAAAUUCUCUUUCAUAAUAAAUAAGGGCAUAAGUGAAAUUGAACAUUUAAAACAUUUGAAAAUUGGUCAAAGUUUCUUAUAAAAA
RNAcentral lists this long non-coding RNA (243 nucleotides) under Trifolium pratense (red clover). Its description in RNAcentral is "long non-coding RNA (TPRA_LNC013546)". Lineage: Eukaryota; Viridiplantae; Streptophyta; Magnoliopsida; Fabales; Fabaceae. The record is from RNAcentral.